GAGUCGACUUGUUUGGGAAUGCAGGUCAAAAUGGGUGGUAAAUUUCAUCUAAAGCUAAAUAUUGGCCAGAGACCGAUAGCGCACAAGUAGAGUGAUCGAAAGAUGAAAAGCACUUUGAAAAGAGAGUUAAACAGUAUGUGAAAUUGUUGAAAGGGAAGCGCUGGCAACCAGACUCGUGCGCGGGGUUCCCCCUUGCUUCUGCUUGGGUCACUUCCCCGUGUCCGGGCCAUCAUCAGUUUCGGGGGCCGGUUAAAGGCCCUGGGAAUGUACCCACGCCUUCGGGGGUGGACUUAUAGCCCAGGGUGUCAUGCGGCCACCCGGGACUGAGGAACGCGCUUCGGCGAGGAUGAUGGCGUAAUGGUUGUCAGCGGCCCGUCUUGAAACACGGACCAAGGAGUCUAACAUCUAUGCGAGUGUUCGGGUGUCAAACCCUUGCGCGGAAUGAAAGUGAACGGAGGUAGGAAGGCUUAAGCCUGCACUAUCGACCGAUCCUGAUG
RNAcentral lists this ribosomal RNA (497 nucleotides) under Knufia petricola. RNAcentral describes it as "partial large subunit ribosomal RNA". It matches the Rfam family "Eukaryotic large subunit ribosomal RNA", at positions 262 to 776 of the family's 3401-position model. Lineage: Eukaryota; Fungi; Ascomycota; Eurotiomycetes; Chaetothyriales; Trichomeriaceae. The record is from RNAcentral.